AAUGCAUGGCCACCGCAGAACCUAAACAAACAACGACUAGUUAGAGAGCCUUACCAUCCACCACCUCCACACCCAGAGCCUCUGCAGAUGCUACCGUCAACACUAUAAGGAUUUAUAUACUACGCAAUGGAAGAUGGCGUGUGCAUUCAUAUUCUAAUUAAAAGUGGUGAUCAAGCUCAGGUUGUUAAUAAAAAAACAUAAUCAUGCAGUUUGGAUUUUAC
RNAcentral lists this long non-coding RNA (221 nucleotides) under Carica papaya (papaya). RNAcentral's name for it is "long non-coding RNA (CPAP_LNC015203)". The record is from RNAcentral. Lineage: Eukaryota; Viridiplantae; Streptophyta; Magnoliopsida; Brassicales; Caricaceae.